Molecule: signal recognition particle RNA, 99 nt
Filed under: Burkholderiales bacterium
Lineage: Bacteria; Pseudomonadati; Pseudomonadota; Betaproteobacteria; Burkholderiales
Description: signal recognition particle sRNA small type
Rfam family: Bacterial small signal recognition particle RNA
About the family: The signal recognition particle (SRP) is a universally conserved ribonucleoprotein involved in the co-translational targeting of proteins to membranes.
Source: RNAcentral
GGCGGGUCGCUCCGCAUUGCACACCCGCCAAUCGGGUCAGGUCUGGAAAGAAGCAGCCCUAACGGGAAUGUGUAAGUGCCGGAGGUUCGGCUCGCCACC